This 497-nucleotide ribosomal RNA is filed under the name uncultured bacterium. Its description in RNAcentral is "partial 16S ribosomal RNA". It matches the Rfam family "Bacterial small subunit ribosomal RNA", at positions 28 to 507 of the family's 1533-position model. The record is from RNAcentral.
GAUGAACGCUGGCGGCGUGCCUAAUACAUGCAAGUCGAGCGAACGGACGAGAAGCUUGCUUCUCUGAUGUUAGCGGCGGACGGGUGAGUAACACGUGGAUAACCUACCUAUAAGACUGGGAUAACUUCGGGAAACCGGAGCUAAUACCGGAUAAUAUUUUGAACCGCAUGGUUCAAAAGUGAAAGACGGUCUUGCUGUCACUUAUAGAUGGAUCCGCGCUGCAUUAGCUAGUUGGUAAGGUAACGGCUUACCAAGGCAACGAUGCAUAGCCGACCUGAGAGGGUGAUCGGCCACACUGGAACUGAGACACGGUCCAGACUCCUACGGGAGGCAGCAGUAGGGAAUCUUCCGCAAUGGGCGAAAGCCUGACGGAGCAACGCCGCGUGAGUGAUGAAGGUUUUCAGAUCGUAAAACUCUGUUAUUAGGGAAGAACAUAUGUGUAAGUAACUGUGCACAUCUUGACGGUACCUAAUCAGAAAGCCACGGCUAACUACGUG